Molecule: transfer RNA, 73 nt
Filed under: Stegodyphus mimosarum
Lineage: Eukaryota; Metazoa; Arthropoda; Arachnida; Araneae; Eresidae
Description: tRNA-Thr for anticodon CGU
Rfam family: tRNA
About the family: Transfer RNA (tRNA) molecules are approximately 80 nucleotides in length.
Source: Rfam by way of RNAcentral
GCCUUCAUGGUGUAGUGGUCAACACGCUCGACGCGUAUUCGAGAGGUCCUAGGUUCGAGUCCCAGCGAGGGCA